This 531-nucleotide ribosomal RNA is filed under the name uncultured bacterium. Its description in RNAcentral is "bacterial SSU rRNA". It matches the Rfam family "Bacterial small subunit ribosomal RNA", at positions 777 to 1304 of the family's 1533-position model. The record is from RNAcentral.
AAUAGAUACCCCGGUAGUCCACGCCCUAAACGAUGCGAACUGGAUGUUGGUCUCAACUCGGAGAUCAGUGUCGAAGCAAACGCGUUAAGUUCGCCGCCUGGGGAGUACGGUCGCAAGACUGAAACUCAAAGGAAUUGACGGGGGCCCGCACAAGCGGUGGAGUAUGUGGUUUAAUUCGAUGCAACGCGAAGAACCUUACCUGGCCUUGACAUGUCCGGAAUCCUGCAGAGAUGCGGGGAGUGCCUUCGGGGAAUCGGAACACAGGUGCUGCAUGGCUGUCGUCAGCUCGUGUCGUGAGAUGUUGGGUUAAGUCCCGCAACGAGCGCAACCCUUGUCCUUAGUUGCCAGCGAGUAAAGUCGGGAACUCUAAGGAGACUGCCGGUGACAAACCGGAGGAAGGUGGGGAUGACGUCAAGUCCUCAUGGCCCUUACGGCCAGGGCUACACACGUACUACAAUGGUCGGUACAGAGGGUUGCAAUACCGCGAGGUGGAGCCAAUCCCAGAAAGCCGAUCCCAGUCCGGAUUGGAGU